UAUAAGGCACUAGGGGGAUACCUAGGUAAUUAAGUUAAAGGACGUAAUAGAUGCGAUAAGCUGUAAACUAACGUGUUACAGAUUUCCGAUAGGGAAACCUUCUCUUUUUGAGAAUUUGAAAACUUGGUGAAGUGAAACAUCUCAGUAACCAAGAUAGAAGAAAUCAACCGAGAUUCCGGGAAUAGUGGCGAGCGAAACCGGAGAUAAGGCCAAAUAAAUUUUAAAUAAUAUUACUGUGGAUACUGUAAAAUAACUAGAGAAAAGUUAUGCCAAAGAGGGUGUCAGCCCCGUUGCAGCCCAGAAUAUUAUACUAUUUAUGAUAAGAGUAAAGCGGGACAUGUGAAAUCUUGCUCGAACAUAGGAGAACCAUCUUCUAAGCCUAAAUAAACUUAAUUAACCGAUAGUGUACAAGUACCGUGAGGGAAAGGUGAAAAAGACUAAUGAACAGUUCUUGAAACCUAGUGCCAAUAAGCUGUUGGAGCUUCGAACGAAGUGACAACGUACCUUUUGUAUAAUGGGUCAGCAACUUUAUUUAUAUAGCAAGCUUAAGCUGUUAAGUGUAGGCGUAGCGAAAGCGAGUUUGAAAAAAGCUAGUAUAAGUUAUAUGAAUAAUACCCGAAACCGAGUGAUCUAGUUAUGAGCAGGCUGAAGUUAAUCUAAACGUUAAUGGAGGGCCGAACCCGUGUAUGUUGCAAAAUACUGGGAUGACUUGUGACUAGGAGUGAAAGGCUAAUCAAACUCGGUAAUAGCUGGUUUUCUGCGAAAUCUAUUUAAGUAAAGCAUCAAGUUAAUAAAGAUUUGGGGUAGAGCACUCAUUGAACUAGGGGGAUGAAAAUCUUACCAAACUCAAGGAAACUACGAAUACGAAUCUUGGUAUCUUGGUAGACGGACAUUGGGCGCUAAGGUUCAAUGUCAAGAGGGAAACAGCCCAGAUUAUUUGCUAAGGUCCUUAAGUAAUGUCUAAGUGGGAAAGGAAGUCAAAAUAUUAAGACAACCAGUAGGUAGGCUUGGAAGCAGCCAUCCUUUAAAGAAAGCGUAACAGCUCACUGGUCUAGUAAUUUGGCGCCGAAAAUGUAAAGGGACUCAAGACAUUUACCGAAGCAGUAACUACUCGUUUAUUUGCGAGUGGGGUAGCAGAACGUUCUGUAAGUUGAAGAAGCUUUUUUGAGAAAAAAGGUGGAAAUAUCAGAAGUGAGAAUGCUGACAUAAGUAACGAUAAACCAGAGCCUAGCCUUAAAAAGCCGGGCAGAAUUCUGGUCGCCGUAAGCCCAAGGGUUUCUAUAGUAAAGUUCGACUUCAUAGAAUAAAUCGGUCCCUAAGGACAAAGCGAAAGCUGUAACCGAUGGGAAAUAAUUGUAAAUAUCUUUUGUUGAUGACGAAAAUUAGAAGUUGAUUAGUUUAAGAACUUUUCAUUAUAAUUUUCCAGGAAAAAGUCACAAAAAUUUUAUGACCGUACCCGAAACCGACACAGGUGGGCGAGUCGAGUAGACUCAGGCGCGUGAGAGAAUCAAGUUUAAGGAACUCGGCAAAAUAACCUCGUAACUUCGGGAGAAGAGGUACUCUAACGAGUGACACAAAAUUGGGGGUAACGACUGUUUAGUAAAAACACAGGACUCUGCUAAGUCGUAAGACGAUGUAUAGGGUCUGACACCUGCCCGGUGCCAGAAGGUUAAGAGGAGAAGUAUAUGCUUCGAAUUGAAUCCCUGGUAAACGGCGGCCGUAACUCUGACGGUCCUAAGGUAGCGAAAUUCCUUGUUAAUUAAUUGUUGACCUGCAUGAAUGGUGUAACGAUUUCCCCACUGUCUCAAACUUGAUCUCAGUGAAAUUGAAAUGUCCGUGAAGAUGCGGACUAUCUACGGCUAGACGGAAAGACCCCGUGCACCUUUACUACAAUUUUUCAUUGUGCAUUAAACUUAAUUAUGCAGGAUAAGUGGGAGCUUAUGAUAAUUUAGCGCCAGCUAAAUAGGAAGCGUCCUUGAGAUACCACUUUUUUAAGAUUUAAUCACUUAACCCAAUUGCUUACACAGGUAAUGAACAAUGGGGAAGAUGAAUGAUUGGUAGUUUGACUGGGGCGGUCACCUCCUAAAGAGUAACGGAGGUGCGCAAAGGCAAGCUCAAACUGGAAAAAUAUCAGUUGUAGAGCGUAAUAGUAUAUGCUUGCCUGACUGUAAGGCAGACAUGCCGAGCAGGCAUGGAUACAAAGUAUCUGUGGGUUAUAGUGAUCCGGUGGUCCAUUAUGGAAUGGCCAUCGCUCAACGGAUAAAAGGUACGCCGGGGAUAACAGGCUAAUGACUCUUAAGAGCCCCUAUCGAUGGAGUCGUUUGGCACCUCAAUGUCGACUCAUCACAUCCUGGAGCUGGAGAAGGUUCCAAGGGUUGGACUGUUCGUCCAUUAAAGUGGUACGUGAGUUGGGUUUAGAACGUCGUGAGACAGUUUGGUCCCUAUCUACCGUAGACGAAUGAAAAUUGAGAGGACCUAACCUUAGUACGAGAGGACCGGGAAGGGUUGACCUCUGGUGUACCGGUUGUUGUAACAACAGCAGUGCCGGGUAGCUACGUCAAUUAAGAAUAACUGCUGAAAGCAUCUAAGCAGGAAGUUGACCUCAAGAUAAAUUUUAUUCCAACUGUAAAAGAACAUUACAUAGAUAGGUAGAAUUUGUAAGUACGGUGACGUAUUUAGAUAAUCUAUACUAAUCAGUUGAAAAAAUCAUAAAU
This 2714-nucleotide ribosomal RNA is filed under the name Proteobacteria bacterium JGI 0000113-E04. Its description in RNAcentral is "bacterial LSU rRNA". It matches the Rfam family "Bacterial large subunit ribosomal RNA". The record is from RNAcentral. Lineage: Bacteria; Pseudomonadati; Pseudomonadota.